This 468-nucleotide ribosomal RNA is filed under the name uncultured bacterium. RNAcentral's name for it is "partial 16S ribosomal RNA". It matches the Rfam family "Bacterial small subunit ribosomal RNA", at positions 28 to 507 of the family's 1533-position model. The record is from RNAcentral.
GACGAACGCUGGCGGCGUGCUUAACACAUGCAAGUCGAACGGAAAGGCCCUGCUUUUGUGGGGUGCUCGAGUGGCGAACGGGUGAGUAACACGUGAGUAACCUGCCCUUGACUUUGGGAUAACUUCAGGAAACUGGGGCUAAUACCGGAUAGGAGCUCCUGCUGCAUGGUGGGGGUUGGAAAGUUUCGGCGGUUGGGGAUGGACUCGCGGCUUAUCAGCUUGUUGGUGGGGUAGUGGCUUACCAAGGCUUUGACGGGUAGCCGGCCUGAGAGGGUGACCGGCGACAUGGGGACUGAGAGACGGCGCAGACUCCUACGGGAGGCAGCAGUGGGGAAUAUUGCAGAAUGGGCGGAAGCCUGAUGCAGCAACGCCGCGUGCGGGAUGACGGCCUUCGGGUUGUAAACCGCUUUCGCCUGUGACGAAGCGGGAGUGACGGUAAUGGGUAAAGAAGCACCGGCUAACUACGUG